UACGGAGGGUGCAAACGUUGCUCGGAAUCAUUGGGCGUAAAGCGCACGUAGGCGGCUCGUUAAGUCGGGUGUGAAAGCCCUCGGCUCAACCGAGGAAGUGCAUUCGAAACUGGCGAGCUUGAAUAUGGAAGAGGGUCGCGGAAUUCCCGGUGUAGAGGUGGAAAUUCGUAGAUAUCGGGAGGAACACCAGUGGCGAAGGCGGCGACCUGGGCCAAUAUUGAC
RNAcentral lists this ribosomal RNA (222 nucleotides) under uncultured bacterium. RNAcentral describes it as "partial 16S ribosomal RNA". It matches the Rfam family "Bacterial small subunit ribosomal RNA", at positions 524 to 744 of the family's 1533-position model. The record is from RNAcentral.